This 72-nucleotide transfer RNA is filed under the name Candidatus Micrarchaeota archaeon CG10_big_fil_rev_8_21_14_0_10_45_29. RNAcentral describes it as "tRNA-Thr". It matches the Rfam family "tRNA". From Rfam's summary of the family: Transfer RNA (tRNA) molecules are approximately 80 nucleotides in length. Their secondary structure includes four short double-helical elements and three loops (D, anti-codon, and T loops). The record is from RNAcentral. Lineage: Archaea; Nanobdellati; Microcaldota.
GCCCUCGUAGCUCAGCGGUAGAGCGUCUGUUUCGUAAACAGAAAGUCGUGGGUUCAAAUCCCAUCGGGGGCU